AGGAGCUUCCCCACCAAACCCUAACUUGUGCAAAUUGAUCAAAUUGGGGCUUCAAAUCAGUUCCAAAUCGAUUUCCAAGCACGAAAUUGUCAUCUCCAUUGAAAGGGGAGUCAUAAGGUAAACUUAGAAAUCUGAAAUUGAUGUUUGAUCUCGUCAAACUAAGUGGGAGCUGGAAAGGAAUGGAUCAAACGGGUCAAGUGCGCAAGGAAAGCUCGAACGGACGCAAACUGAACGAAUAGAAAUUUGGAUAAUUACGUCAUCAUAGAAUAUUGAAUUAAUAAUAGCAAGGCAUAAACGGGUCUAUACGUUGACCCGAGCCAGGUACGCUUAUAUAUAGAUUUAUAGUUAAAAGUGUUUAACUUCCCUUCACGGGUCAAAAGGAGUAGAUAGGUAAAACGGGUUAAGAAUUCAUAAGAAACCCGUAAUUUGAACCUUGCACAUUAGUAAACUGAUAUAACGUGAUAUGCAUGAUAUUUUGAAAAGGGUAAUAAACAAGUUUGUUUGAUAAAUCACGAACGGGUCAAAAAGUGUCAUAAUUGAAUUUCAAGCCGAGAGCUUGAAAGUUAAAAUUUUGUGAAUUCAGAUGUUGGAUUUUAACU
Molecule: long non-coding RNA, 599 nt
Filed under: Helianthus annuus (common sunflower)
Lineage: Eukaryota; Viridiplantae; Streptophyta; Magnoliopsida; Asterales; Asteraceae
Source: RNAcentral